AGAGUUUGAUCCUGGCUCAGAUUGAACGCUGGCGGCAGGCCUAACACAUGCAAGUCGAGCGGCAGCGCGGGGGUAACCUGGCGGCGAGCGGCGAACGGGUGAGUAAUACAUGGGAAUCUGCCUAGUAGUGGGGGAUAACUUCGGGAAACUGGAGGUAAUACCGCAUACGCCCUACGGGGGAAAGCAGGGGAUCUUCGGACCUUGCGCUAUUAGAUGAGCCUGCGUCCGAUUAGCUAGUUGGUGGGGUAAAGGCCUACCAAGGCGACGAUCGGUAACUGGUCUGAGAGGAUGAUCAGUCACACUGGAACUGAGACACGGUCCAGACUCCUACGGGAGGCAGCAGUGGGGAAUAUUGGACAAUGGGCGCAAGCCUGAUCCAGCCAUGCCGCGUGUGUGAAGAAGGCCUUCGGGUUGUAAAGCACUUUAAGCGGGGAGGAAGGCCUGAUGGCUAAUAUCCAUCAGGAUUGACGUUACCCGCAGAAUAAGCACCGGCAAACUUCGUG
This 503-nucleotide ribosomal RNA is filed under the name uncultured bacterium. RNAcentral's name for it is "bacterial SSU rRNA". It matches the Rfam family "Bacterial small subunit ribosomal RNA", at positions 8 to 507 of the family's 1533-position model. The record is from RNAcentral.